RNAcentral lists this ribosomal RNA (496 nucleotides) under uncultured bacterium. RNAcentral's name for it is "partial 16S ribosomal RNA". It matches the Rfam family "Bacterial small subunit ribosomal RNA", at positions 28 to 507 of the family's 1533-position model. The record is from RNAcentral.
GAUGAACGCUGGCGGCGUGCCUAAUACAUGCAAGUCGAGCGAACGGACGAGAAGCUUGCUUCUCUGAUGUUGCGGCGGACGGGUGAGUAACACGUGGAUAACCUACCUAUAAGACUGGGAUAACUUCGGGAAACCGGAGCUAAUACCGGAUAAUAUUUUGAACCGCAUGGUUCAAAAGUGAAAGACGGUCUUGCUGUCACUUAUAGAUGGAUCCGCGCUGCAUUAGCUAGUUGGUAAGGUAACGGCUUACCAAGGCAACGAUGCAUAGCCGACCUGAGAGGGUGAUUGGCCACACUGGAACUGAGACACGGUCCAGACUCCUACGGGAGGCAGCAGUAGGGAAUCUUCCGCAAUGGGCGAAAGCCUGACGGAGCAACGCCGCGUGAGUGAUGAAGGUCUUCGGAUCGUAAAACUCUGUUAUUAGGGAAGAACAUAUGUGUAAGUAACUGUGCACAUCUUGACGGUACCUAAUCAGAAAGCCACGGCUAACUACGUG